GUAGGGGGCUAGCGUUAUCCGGAAUUACUGGGCGUAAAGGGUGCGUAGGUGGUUUCUUAAGUCAGAGGUGAAAGGCUACGGCUCAACCGUAGUAAGCCUUUGAAACUGGGAAACUUGAGUGCAGGAGAGGAGAGUGGAAUUCCUAGUGUAGCGGUGAAAUGCGUAGAUAUUAGGAGGAACACCAGUGGCGAAGGCGGCUUACUGGACGGUAACUGACGUUGAGGCUCGAAAGCGUGGGGAGCAAACAGGAUUAGAUACCCUGGUAGUCCACGCGGUAAACGAUGAAUGCUAGGUGUCGGGGAGCAAAGCUCUUCGGUGCCGCCGCAAACGCAUUAAGCAUUCCACCUGGGGAGU
Molecule: ribosomal RNA, 354 nt
Filed under: uncultured bacterium
Lineage: Bacteria
Description: bacterial SSU rRNA
Rfam family: Bacterial small subunit ribosomal RNA
Source: RNAcentral